This 473-nucleotide ribosomal RNA is filed under the name Tetrahymena sp. DLTH151-08. RNAcentral's name for it is "SSU rRNA". It matches the Rfam family "Eukaryotic small subunit ribosomal RNA", at positions 1318 to 1831 of the family's 1831-position model. The record is from RNAcentral. Lineage: Eukaryota; Ciliophora; Oligohymenophorea; Hymenostomatida; Tetrahymenidae.
GGUUAUUCCGUUAACGAACGAGACCUUAACCUGCUAACUAGUCUGCUUGUAAAUAACAGGUUGUACUUCUUAGAGGGACUAUUGUGCAAUAAGCCAAUGGAAGUUUAAGGCAAUAACAGGUCUGUGAUGCCCCUAGACGUGCUCGGCCGCACGCGCGUUACAAUGACUGGCGCAAAAAGUAUUUCCUGUCCUGGGAAGGUACGGGUAAUCUUAUUAAUACCAGUCGUGUUAGGGAUAGUUCUUUGGAAUUGUGGAUCUUGAACGAGGAAUUUCUAGUAAGUGCAAGUCAUCAGCUUGCGUUGAUUAUGUCCCUGCCGUUUGUACACACCGCCCGUCGCUUGUAGUAACGAAUGGUCUGGUGAACCUUCUGGACUGCGACAGCAAUGUUGCGGAAAAAUAAGUAAACCCUACCAUUUGGAACAACAAGAAGUCGUAACAAGGUAUCUGUAGGUGAACCUGCAGAUGGAUCAUUA